Rhinolophus ferrumequinum (greater horseshoe bat) is the source of this 105-nucleotide small nuclear RNA. The record is from Ensembl. Lineage: Eukaryota; Metazoa; Chordata; Mammalia; Chiroptera; Rhinolophidae.
GUGCUCACUUUGGCAGCACAUGGACUAAAAUUGGAAUACUAGACAAAAUUAGCCUGGCCCCUGCACAAGGAUGAUAUGCAAAUUCUUGCAGCGUUCCACAUUUUA